Molecule: transfer RNA, 92 nt
Filed under: Alphaproteobacteria bacterium
Lineage: Bacteria; Pseudomonadati; Pseudomonadota; Alphaproteobacteria
Also listed under: 2 other names
Description: tRNA-Ser
Rfam family: tRNA
About the family: Transfer RNA (tRNA) molecules are approximately 80 nucleotides in length. Their secondary structure includes four short double-helical elements and three loops (D, anti-codon, and T loops).
Source: RNAcentral
GGAGACGUGGCCGAGUGGCUGAAGGCGGCAGGUUGCUAACUUGUUGUACGGAUUAAACCGUACCGGAGGUUCGAAUCCUCUCGUCUCCGCCA